RNAcentral lists this ribosomal RNA (492 nucleotides) under uncultured bacterium. RNAcentral's name for it is "partial 16S ribosomal RNA". It matches the Rfam family "Bacterial small subunit ribosomal RNA", at positions 29 to 507 of the family's 1533-position model. The record is from RNAcentral.
AGUGAGCGCUGGCGGUAGGCCUAACACAUGCAAGUCGAACGGCAGCACAGUAAGAGCUUGCUCUUACGGGUGGCGAGUGGCGGACGGGUGAGGAAUACAUCGGAAUCUACUUUUUCGUGGGGGAUAACGUAGGGAAACUUACGCUAAUACCGCAUACGACCUACGGGUGAAAGCAGGGGAUCUUCGGACCUUGCGCGAUUGAAUGAGCCGAUGUCGGAUUAGCUAGUUGGCGGGGUAAAGGCCUACCAAGGCGACGAUCCGUAGCUGGUCUGAGAGGAUGAUCAGCCACACUGGAACUGAGACACGGUCCAGACUCCUACGGGAGGCAGCAGUGGGGAAUAUUGGACAAUGGGCGCAAGCCUGAUCCAGCCAUACCGCGUGGGUGAAGAAGGCCUUCGGGUUGUAAAGCCCUUUUGUUGGGAAAGAAAAGCAGCAGGUUAAUACCCCGCUGUUCUGACGGUACCCAAAGAAUAAGCACCGGCUAACUUCGUG